This 1649-nucleotide long non-coding RNA is filed under the name Homo sapiens (human). RNAcentral describes it as "HSALNT0374746". Lineage: Eukaryota; Metazoa; Chordata; Mammalia; Primates; Hominidae. The record is from RNAcentral.
UCUCCUGACCUUGUGAUCCGCCCGCCUCGGCCUCCCAAAGUGCUGGGAUUACAGGCGUGAGCCACCGCGCCCGGCCGCAUCUUUUCUUUUUCUCCUUUUUCCCAACUACUGCUGUGCUUUCUGGCUUUGUGCCUUCCUUCUUUGCUUCCUCUCCCAUCACUCCACAGACAAGGAGGCUCUGUCCAAGCUCCUGUCCUGGCUCGCUCAGCCCAGCCUUCAGGUUCUCAGCCCAACACGAGGGUCUCCUUGGGUAGUCAGCUCAAUCAUUUCAAGCUAUUAAUCAACGGACUUCUCCUGAAUGCAUCCAGACCUCUCCUCAAGGCUCUUGCUCCGUCGCCCAGGCUGAAGUGCAGUGGAGCGAUCACGAUCACGGUUCGCUGCAGCUUCAAACUCCUGAGCUCAAACGAUCCUCCCCGCUCAGCCUCCCAAGUAGCUGGGACUACUGGCACAUGCCACCACCCCUGGCUGAAAAUCACUCAUUUUUAAUGAGAAAAUGAAGCGGGAAAGGAAGCUACUCACAACAGCAACAAGAUCCGUACUAUAACCAAGAAUGAAACCAGAAUAUAGAGUUUUUGUGAUUAGAACGGGCAAAUAAAAGAACAAAGCUGAGUGGAGAGUCCAGAAUUCUCAGCCACUCCACUCCUAAGAAUCUGCCGUUUUUAAAAAGUGGACAUGUGCACAAAGGUAUACGUACAAAGAGGCUCAGAAAUAACAUUUGCAAGGGCAAAAACAUUGAGGCCAAUGCGAGUUUUUAUCAACAGGAGAAUGGUUAAAUGAAUAAUGUUAUAUCACAUUUGCAGUGUUUUAUUUAGAAAGGAAGCAUUGCUGUGAGUUCUGACAUGGAAUGAUCUCGGUGGUAUAUUGAAAAGCAAGUUCUAAUAUAAUUCCUCAAGCAUAAAAAAAACUAUAUGUUGAUAUAUUUAUGGAUAGAGGUAAUUGCAUAGAAAAAUGCCUGGAAAGAUACAUGUCAAACCAUUAUUGUGGUUAGUUCUGGGGGCCAUUUCCUUUAGAAAUUUUCUAUGAGAAUGGCCGGGUGCGGUGGCUCAUGCCUGUAAUCCUAGCACUUUGGGAGGCCGAGGCGGGUGGAUCACAAGGUCAGGAGAUCGAGCCCAUCCUGGCUAAUACGGUGAAACCCCAUCUCUACUAAAAAUACAACAAAUUAGCCGGGCGUGGUGGCGGGCGCCUGUGGUCCCAGCUACUCGGGAGGCUGAAGCAGGAGAAUGGCGUGAACCUGGGAGGCGGAGCUUGCAGUGAGCUGAGAUUGCGCCACUGCACUCCAGCCUGGGCGACAGAGCCAGACUCCGUCUCAAAAAAAAAAGAAAUUUUCUAUGACAAUGUAUUCAUGUAGUACUUGUCAAUUAUUUUCUUUUUAAAUAAAAUAGUAAGACCCAGGCUUCUUAGUGCUGUGACAAGCUGGCCUUGUCUCUGUCUCCAGCAGGGUGGCUAAGGGUUUCAGAUGGCACCGCACCAUGGUGUUUGCUCCAGCCCAUCUCCUUGGGAUCAGUGUUAGUGUGGAGGAUGUGAGGGACCAUAGCUGUGACCUCCCGGGUGGGCUUCCAGAAGAGGAGGUCUGGUGAGACCGCUUGGGGCAGGACCAGAUAUUCCACUCCCUGGAAAGGAAGGCAUGGGAUUCUGCCUCGUGGCACAAG